Long non-coding RNA from Larimichthys crocea (large yellow croaker), 535 nucleotides. RefSeq lists it as uncharacterized. The record is from RefSeq and is a predicted model, not a curated record. The transcript is spliced from 3 exons. Lineage: Eukaryota; Metazoa; Chordata; Actinopteri; Sciaenidae.
UCAGCCAAUCAGGUCAUCAUCCAAACAAAGCCUCUGAUUGGACGGCAGAUCUCCACCUCCACACAAUAAGUCAAACUCUGCGACAGCAGAAUCAACAGAACUCAACAUGCUGAACAAAAUGGGCCCAAAGAUCUUCGACAUCUUCAUCGUGACGACUCUGCUGCUCAUCUCAUAUGAGGUUGAAGGCGAUCGGGGGUGAUCGGUGGAUACUGCAAACCUCCAGGAACAUGCCGCCCAUCUGGCUGUGAUGUUACCGUGAUGGAGACUGAACGAUCUGGUCCAGAAGGUUAAAUGAAGGUUAUAUACAGCAAAGGUGGAUUGUACGGUGAUCAGAGAGAGAUGGAAACACAAACAGAUCUUUGGAAACAUGUCCAUGGUUACAUGUUUUCUAGAGUUCAUCUUUCCACCUUUUGUUUGAUUUGUAUAUAUUGUGACAUAUCAGAUACUGAAUGAGAGAACAGAAGUUCAGACGUUUAGUGUUUCUGACUUUCAGCUCUUCUUUUGUUUUUAAUGCAGCAAUAAAUCAGAGACAGAC